RNAcentral lists this unclassified non-coding RNA (296 nucleotides) under Hevea brasiliensis (rubber tree). Lineage: Eukaryota; Viridiplantae; Streptophyta; Magnoliopsida; Malpighiales; Euphorbiaceae. The record is from RNAcentral.
AAAGGCUUAGUUGAGAUGAGUUGAAUAGCUCAUUAUUUCUAGGGUGCAUAUAUUACAUGUUAAAAUACAGCAGCUUGUUGCUUGUCAAAUACUUGGAAUCUUGAAAUGAAUUUUCAUAUUUGUGGCAUUUAAAUUAUAAUGUUGCUUUUGAAAUAAUUAUGUUUUGGAAUUAAUUUACAUCUCAUAACAUUUAGAAUUCAUUUGUAUACCAUUCACAUUUGGCUUCAUGUGGUAUGAAAGCAGCAGCAGACAGUAACUUACCUUAAUGAGGAAUGAUUGUGUUCACAAAAGCCAAU